RNAcentral lists this ribosomal RNA (452 nucleotides) under uncultured bacterium. RNAcentral's name for it is "SSU rRNA". It matches the Rfam family "Bacterial small subunit ribosomal RNA", at positions 26 to 518 of the family's 1533-position model. The record is from RNAcentral.
AGGAUAAACGCUGGCGGCGUGCCUAACACAUGCAAGUCGAACGUCCUACGCAAGUAGGGAGUGGCGGACGGGUGAGUAACACGUGGGCAAUCUACCUUUCGGUGAGGAAUACCGGCGAGAAAUCGCCGACAAUACCGCAUACGCUUCGCAAGAAGCAAAGUCGCAAGACGCCGGAGGAGGAGCCUGCGCCCGAUUAGCUCGUUGGUGGAGUAAUGGUCUACCAAGGCGACGAUCGGUAGCUGGUCUGAGAGGAUGAUCAGCCACACUGGGAUUGAGAACGGCCCAGACUCCUACGGGGGGCAGCAGUGAGGAAUCUUGCACAAUGGGCGAAAGCCUGAUGCAGCAACGCCGCGUGAGGGACGAAGGCUUUCUGAGUUGUAAACCUCUUUCAGCAGGGACGAUUGUGACGGUACCUGCAGAAGAACGCCCCGGCAACUCGUGCCAGCAGCCGC